This 253-nucleotide ribosomal RNA is filed under the name uncultured bacterium. Its description in RNAcentral is "partial 16S ribosomal RNA". It matches the Rfam family "Bacterial small subunit ribosomal RNA", at positions 524 to 776 of the family's 1533-position model. The record is from RNAcentral.
UACGUAGGGUGCAAGCGUUGUCCGGAAUUAUUGGGCGUAAAGAGCUCGUAGGUGGCCUGUCGCGUCGGCUGUGAAAACUCGGGGCUCAACUCCGAGCUUGCAGUCGAUACGGGCAGGCUAGAGUUCGGCAGGGGAGACUGGAAUUCCUGGUGUAGCGGUGAAAUGCGCAGAUAUCAGGAGGAACACCGGUGGCGAAGGCGGGUCUCUGGGCCGAUACUGACAUUGAGGAGCGAAAGCGUGGGGAGCGAACAGG